RNAcentral lists this ribosomal RNA (499 nucleotides) under uncultured organism. RNAcentral's name for it is "SSU rRNA". It matches the Rfam family "Bacterial small subunit ribosomal RNA", at positions 8 to 509 of the family's 1533-position model. The record is from RNAcentral.
AGAGUUUGAUCCUGGCUCAGAAUGAACGUUGGCGGCGUGGAUUAGGCAUGCAAGUCGAACGGUAAGGUUACUUAGCUUGCUUUGUAACCCUAGAGUGGCGAAAGGGAUAGUACAAUGUAGAUCAUAUACCCUCAGGUUGGGGAUAGCGUCUGGAAACGGGCGGUAAUACCCGAUAACAUCUCCGGAUCAAAGGUGAGAUUCCGCCUGAGGAUUAGUUUACACACUAUUAGCUUGUUGGCGGGGUAAUGGCCCACCAAGGCGACGAUGGUUACCGGGCGUGAGAGCGUGACCCGGAUCACUGGGACUGAGACACUGCCCAGACACCUACGGGUGGCUGCAGUCGAGAAUCUUCGGCAAUGGACGAAAGUCUGACCGAGCGACGCCGCGUGUAUGAUGAAGGCCUUCGGGUUGUAAAAUACUGUCGAUUAGGCGGAAGUGUAUAGGGGUUCUCCCUUAUACUUGACCUAUCAUUGGAGGAAGGACGGGCUAAGUUCGUGCC